AUCACUUAUUUUGUACAUAAAUUUUAGGGGGGAGGCAUUCACAUUGUCCAUGCUUCUGCAUAAAAAGCAUCAUCAUCCCACCCCACCACCCUUGCCAUAUAUUAUAAACGGUCCCUUAUUUAAACUCGUUUUUACCAAGCACAGUAGACCUUUGGGAUGCUUUACCGAAUGACAUUAAAUGAUACAAUCUCAAAAAACAUUUGCUGAAAAAGUAACACCCAAGUCAGGAUUUUCAUUUGAGUAUGAUCUGAAUUAUGAAAGUCGAUUUUGUCAAAUUAUUCAUUGUAGGCUUCGUCUAGGCUGUACUGAUCUAAAUUAUCAUAAAUUUGAAAGACAUAUCUCAAACGAUCCUUCCUGUUCGUACGGCGUUUAUCGUGAAGAUACACAACACUAUCUGCUUGCCUGUCCAAACUACGCUGUGUUAAGAAAUGAUGCGGUUUAUUACAAAAAUGGGUACAGCUUAAACACAAUUCUAUAUGGGAAUAGUGAAAUAUUUGAUCUUGAUGACCUAGCUCUUCUUGUAGAUUUGGUACCAAAUAUGGUUGAAGAAUUGUUAGCUUUAAGAAAUAUAUCGGUUGUUAUGAUGGAAUUGCUGUUGAAAUAUAAAUUAUCAUCUGACUGUACAUUAACCUUGUGAUUUGUCAUGUGAUUAUCCUGUAUGUUAAUUUUGGUUUAUUUACCUUUGCAAAUUGUACUGGAGCGGCAUUAAUACAAGUUUGUAGCUUGUUUGCCAAUCCAUUCGUUUCACGAAUAAAUAUGUUUAAACUAUA
This is a long non-coding RNA of Haliotis rubra (blacklip abalone), 770 nucleotides long. RefSeq lists it as uncharacterized. The transcript has 2 exons. The record is from RefSeq and is a predicted model, not a curated record. Lineage: Eukaryota; Metazoa; Mollusca; Gastropoda; Lepetellida; Haliotidae.